This 447-nucleotide ribosomal RNA is filed under the name uncultured bacterium. RNAcentral describes it as "partial 16S ribosomal RNA". It matches the Rfam family "Bacterial small subunit ribosomal RNA", at positions 29 to 523 of the family's 1533-position model. The record is from RNAcentral.
AACGAACGCUGGCGGCAGGCUUAACACAUGCAAGUCGAACGCCCCGCAAGGGGAGUGGCGCACGGGUGAGUAACGCGUGGAUAUCUGCCUUUUGGUUCGGAAUAACCCCGGGAAACUGGGGCUAAUACCGGAUGGUUCCUACGGGAUAAAGAUUUAUCGCCAAAAGAUGAGUCCGCGUACGAUUAGCUAGUUGGUGAGGUAAUGGCUCACCAAGGCGACGAUCGUUAGCUGGUCUGAGAGGACGAUCAGCCACACUGGGACUGAGACACGGCCCAGACUCCUACGGGAGGCAGCAGUGGGGAAUAUUGGACAAUGGGGGCAACCCUGAUCCAGCCAUGCCGCGUGAGUGAUGAAGGCCUUCGGGUUGUAAAGCUCUUUUGGCGGGGACGAUGAUGACGGUACCCGCAGAAUAAGCCCCGGCUAACUUCGUGCCAGCCGCCGCCGUAA